Molecule: long non-coding RNA, 1007 nt
Filed under: Piliocolobus tephrosceles (Ugandan red Colobus)
Lineage: Eukaryota; Metazoa; Chordata; Mammalia; Primates; Cercopithecidae
Description: lncRNA (ENSPTEG00000005576.1)
Source: RNAcentral
GACUUGUUUAUUAAUACUAAAAGUGAUAUUGGAAGGUUACAAUUCAUACUAAAACGCAUUAUAAAAUAAACAGAAGUAUUAUAUAUGUGGAAAAACAGUUAUAUAUUAAUUUACGACUUAUCGUUUUUGUAACUAAUGUACAUUAUAAUGCAACGGAUAGCUCAAAAUAAUACAAACGAUCACAAGAUAUUAAAUUUUAUCUGUAACAUUCUUUUUUUUUUUUUUUUUGAAUUAUUAAUUAUUGUAGAUGCAAAAAUAUACAUUCAGAUAUAUUAAAGGAACAGCUAGAAAAUCAUGAAGAUUAUAAAUAUUAUUUAGCCAAAUAUCAAAAUCGGUUUAUGAGUACUUUGAAAAAAAUGGUUGAAACUGCUGACAUAAAAAUAAAAAAAAAUAAAGAAAGACUAAAAAGCUUAUCGGAAAGUAGUCCCAAAAAUUGCAAGAAGGAAAAAAUCGAAUGUAUUAACAACCACAUAUGUGAUUUACUUAAACAAGCAGAAGCGGCUGGGGAAAAGGGUGAUUUGGUUAAAGCUACUAGUUUUAAUAAUCAAGUUACAACGCUGCAAGCAGAAAUUAAAAGACUUAAUGAGGAAAGCGAUGAAGAAACUGAAACGGAAAUGAAUGUGAGUAAAUAAAUAACAAAAUUGGUCUAUGCGAAUAUACUGACAUUGUUGUAUUUAUAUUAUAUGCUCACAAGUAUGCAUUUUUUUUUUUUUUAUUUUAUAUUUGUUUACAUAUAUAGGUAUGUGAAGUAUGUGGUGCUAUGAAAUCAACUGUGGAUCCUGUCCAAAGGAUUGAAAAUCAUGUUAAUGGUAAACAACAUAUGGGUUUUGAAAAAAUAAGAAAUACGUUACUUGACUUGAGUGAUAAAUGGGUAGAGCGAGAAAACUUUAUAAAAGAUUAUAGAAAAAAAAAUGAUGAUAAAAAAAAUCAUGCUAAAAAAGAAAAACAUUAUCAUAAUCAUGAGCAUAGGAGAAGAUAUAGUGAUCAUAGAAAAAGUACAAAACAUC